UACGUAGGGUGCGAGCGUUAAUCGGAAUUACUGGGCGUAAAGCGUGCGCAGGCGGUUAUGUAAGACAGAGGUGAAAACCCCGGGCUCAACCUGGGAACUGCCUUUGUGACUGCAUAGCUGGAGUACGGCAGAGGGGGAUGGAAUUCCGCGUGUAGCAGUGAAAUGCGUAGAUAUGCGGAGGAACACCGAUGGCGAAGGCAAUCCCCUGGGCCUGUACUUACGCUCAUGCACGAAAGCGUGGGGGGCAAACAGG
Molecule: ribosomal RNA, 253 nt
Filed under: uncultured bacterium
Lineage: Bacteria
Description: partial 16S ribosomal RNA
Rfam family: Bacterial small subunit ribosomal RNA
Source: RNAcentral